AUCUAGCUGACAAGUCCCGAAUAGGACGAAACGCGAGUCCUGGAU
This 45-nucleotide non-coding RNA is filed under the name Schistosoma bovis. RNAcentral also lists the same sequence under 1 other name. The record is from RNAcentral. Lineage: Eukaryota; Metazoa; Platyhelminthes; Trematoda; Strigeidida; Schistosomatidae.